CCAGGAGUGACCGGCCGGGGGCGGGGCCACGGGGCCGCGUGGGGAACCCUGCGUCCCGCGCCGCCGGCUCCCUCCGCCCGGAAACAUGGAACUGUGGAAAAAUUCGGCCUUUCUCUCCCAGUCCGUAGAUCUCUGUGCGCGAAAGGGGAAAAAUGAGGUGACACCGGUGCCACUGGUCCAGGACCUCAUUUUGAGAACCUGUGAUGCGCAGGUGUUCCUCUUGCCCAGUGAAGCAGGCAAAUUGGAGCCAAGAGCUGGACAUACCUGACUCCAAAGAAGAGAUGGGGAAAGAGUCCUGAAAAGAAAAGUGGAAACAGGGAGACCAGGACAGGGACCAAGAAGGGACAGACUGGAGAAGAACCCUCUGCCUCCUGGGGAUUUCUGUGCUGUUUGCUUUGUGGUGGCUGGCCAUCAUUACCAAAAUGCAGUUUUAGAACAUUUCCAUUAGCCCAGUAAGUUUCCUCCUGCUGGUUUUUGCUUAAUCCCUUCUCCCAUCCCAAGCCCUUGGCAACCACUGAUCUGCCUUUUUCUCUAUGAAUUUGCCUUUUCUGUGUGU
Mustela erminea (ermine) is the source of this 556-nucleotide long non-coding RNA. RefSeq lists it as uncharacterized. The transcript is spliced from 3 exons. The record is from RefSeq and is a predicted model, not a curated record. Lineage: Eukaryota; Metazoa; Chordata; Mammalia; Carnivora; Mustelidae.